This 24-nucleotide non-coding RNA is filed under the name Arabidopsis thaliana (thale cress). The record is from RNAcentral. Lineage: Eukaryota; Viridiplantae; Streptophyta; Magnoliopsida; Brassicales; Brassicaceae.
GUGCUUUUACUGAACGUUGCGACA